RNAcentral lists this ribosomal RNA (422 nucleotides) under uncultured bacterium. Its description in RNAcentral is "bacterial SSU rRNA". It matches the Rfam family "Bacterial small subunit ribosomal RNA", at positions 355 to 774 of the family's 1533-position model. The record is from RNAcentral.
UGAGGAAUAUUGGACAAUGGGCGCAAGCCUGAUCCAGCCAUGCCGCGUGCAGGAAGAAGCAUCUAUGGUGUGUAAACUGCUUUUGUACGGGAAGAAACACUCCUUCGUGAAGGAGCUCGACGGUACCGUAAGAAUAAGGAUCGGCUAACUCCGUGCCAGCAGCCGCGGUAAUACGGAGGAUCCAAGCGUUAUCCGGAAUCAUUGGGUUUAAAGGGUCCGUAGGCGGUUUAGUAAGUCAGUGGUGAAAGCCCAUCGCUCAACGAUGGAACGGCCAUUGAUACUGCUAGACUUGAAUUACAAGGAAGUAACUAGAAUAUGUAGUGUAGCGGUGAAAUGCUUAGAUAUUACAUGGAAUACCAAUUGCGAAGGCAGGUUACUACUUGUGGAUUGACGCUGAUGGACGAAAGCGUGGGGAGCAAACA